This 372-nucleotide ribosomal RNA is filed under the name uncultured bacterium. RNAcentral's name for it is "bacterial SSU rRNA". It matches the Rfam family "Bacterial small subunit ribosomal RNA", at positions 143 to 507 of the family's 1533-position model. The record is from RNAcentral.
AUAACGUAGCGAAAGUUACGCUAAUACCGCAUAUUCCUGUGAGCAGGAAAGCAGGGGAUCGCAAGACCUUGCGCUGAUUGAGCGGCCGAUAUCAGAUUAGCUAGUUGGUGAGGUAAAGGCUCACCAAGGCGACGAUCUGUAGCGGGUCUGAGAGGAUGAUCCGCCACACUGGAACUGAGACACCGGUCCAGACUCCUACGGGAGGCAGCAGUGGGGAAUUUUGGACAAUGGGCGCAAGCCUGAUCCAGCCAUGCCGCGUGAGUGAAGAAGGCCUUCGGGUUGUAAAGCUCUUUCCAGCCGGGAAGAAAACGCAUGGGUUAAUACCCUGUGUGGAUGACGGUACCAGAAUAAGAAGCACCGGCUAACUACGUG